RNAcentral lists this ribosomal RNA (497 nucleotides) under uncultured bacterium. RNAcentral describes it as "partial 16S ribosomal RNA". It matches the Rfam family "Bacterial small subunit ribosomal RNA", at positions 28 to 507 of the family's 1533-position model. The record is from RNAcentral.
GAUGAACGCUGGCGGCGUGCCUAAUACAUGCAAGUCGAGCGAACAGAUGAGGAGCUUGCUCCUCUGACGUUACCGGCGGACGGGUGAGUAACACGUGGAUAACCUACCUAUAAGACUGGGAUAACUUCGGGAAACCGGAGCUAAUACCGGAUAAUAUAUUGAACCGCAUGGUUCUAUAGUGAAAGACGGUUUUGCUGUCACUUAUAGAUGGAUCCGCGCCGCAUUAGCUAGUUGGUAAGGUAACGGCUUACCAAGGCAACGAUGCGUAGCCGACCUGAGAGGGUGAUCGGCCACACUGGAACUGAGACACGGUCCAGACUCCUACGGGAGGCAGCAGUAGGGAAUCUUCCGCAAUGGGCGAAAGCCUGACGGAGCAACGCCGCGUGAGUGAUGAAGGUCUUCGGAUCGUAAAACUCUGUUAUUAGGGAAGAACAAAUGUGUAAGUAACUAUGCACGUCUUGACGGUACCUAAUCAGAAAGCCACGGCUAACUACGUG